GAACCUGCGGAGGGAUCAUUACCGAGUUUACAACUCCCAAACCCCUGUGAACAUACCUAUAAUUUGCCUCGGCGGACUCAACGACGGUGCUCCGAGAAAUCGGGCGCCGCUCGCUGCCAGAGGAACCCCAAACUCUAUGUAUUCUUGUGGAUCUUCUGAGUAAAACAAAACAAAUAAAUCAAAACUUUCAACAACGGAUCUCUUGGUUCUGGCAUCGAUGAAGAACGCAGCGAAAUGCGAUAAGUAAUGUGAAUUGCAGAAUUCAGUGAAUCAUCGAAUCUUUGAACGCACAUUGCGCCCGCCAGUAUUCUGGCGGGCAUGCCUGUUCGAGCGUCAUUUCAACCCUCAAGCCCCCGGGCUUGGUGUUGGGGAUCGGCGAUAGUCGCCGUCCCCCAAAUCUAGUGGCGGUCUCGCUGUAGCCUCCAUUGCGUAGUAGCUAACACCUCGCAACUGGAACGCGGCGCGGCCAAGCCGUUAAACCCCCAACUUCUGAAUGUUGACCUCGGAUCAGGUAGGAAUACCCGCUGAACUUAAGCAUAUCAAUAA
RNAcentral lists this ribosomal RNA (546 nucleotides) under fungal sp. E14833B. RNAcentral's name for it is "eukaryotic LSU rRNA". The stretch from base 183 to 336 matches the Rfam family "5.8S ribosomal RNA". Lineage: Eukaryota; Fungi. The record is from RNAcentral.